Molecule: long non-coding RNA, 283 nt
Filed under: Hordeum vulgare
Lineage: Eukaryota; Viridiplantae; Streptophyta; Magnoliopsida; Poales; Poaceae
Description: long non-coding RNA (HVUL_LNC007446)
Source: RNAcentral
UAUUUUUUGUUUCGUUUGCCUUCCUUGCCUCUUGUGGAUCUUUGUUUUAACAUGUCUAAUGUUUUUAUAGAUAUAGAGAAAGUGAUGAUCCCAUCUUGUGCAUUUUGUAUUUACAUGCAAAUUCUAUAUAAUGCACAUCUCCUGGGGGAGCUAUCCUAUUUUCUUUAGAACACUCUCUUUACACGCCCAUCAUAAAAUCUUUUGAUCCCCAUCAAGUGUGUGUUGCUGAGAGGCAAGUUUUGCUCUUUAUGAUGCUUUGUUCCAUAAUAAAAAUUUGUCGAGG